This 107-nucleotide ribosomal RNA is filed under the name Acanthosepion pharaonis. The record is from RNAcentral. Lineage: Eukaryota; Metazoa; Mollusca; Cephalopoda; Sepiida; Sepiidae.
UACGGUCAAAUCAUGUUGUAACACCGUUUCCCGUACGAUCACCGAAGUUAAACAAUAUCUAGCCUGAUUAGUACCUAGAUGAGUGACUGCUUGGGAGUACCAGGAAA